This is a long non-coding RNA of Cornus florida, 1143 nucleotides long. RefSeq lists it as uncharacterized. NCBI's taxonomy places the organism in Eukaryota, Viridiplantae, Streptophyta, Magnoliopsida, Cornales, Cornaceae. The record is from RefSeq and is a predicted model, not a curated record. The transcript has 3 exons.
UACGUUAGAAGCCUAGGGUUCCUCACUCCUCAUAUCACCCAUCGCCUCUCAUCUUACCUCUACUUUGCUACCCACUGCCCACUCCGAUCGGCAUUCUCCGAUGACCAAGGGACCGGCGGUUAUUUCUAUCUGAUGAUCGACUACUCAAUGGCCACUCAAUAUGUGAACUCAAUGGCAACUCAGUGCACAAGGCUCCCGCCACUGGGGAUUUAGAGAUGGUGAGAUGUACGAUACCUUACUUACACAUGCGAAGAGGCUGUUUCCCGUAUCGAACCCAUGAUCUUUGGGUCAAAAUAAUGCAACUUUACUGUUGCGCUAAUGUCCACUCUCAGAUGAUGCAUUGGAGAAUUAUGAAGACAUUGCAAAAGACAUUCCUUACCAUCAUGUUCCCCCGAAGGCUACUUACAAGAUGCAAGGGGAUGAUUGGAUGAAGCUCGGCACAUCCAAUCAUGAAUCAUGAAAGGCUGAUGUAUCUCCAUAGUGCUGCUGAUUCCUGGCUGAAACAGCUCAGUGUCCAGCACCAUGACUUCAACUAUUUUACUUCGCACUCUACCAUGGAGAUUGGUAUGUCUUUGUAAAUUCUUACAUCCUUUGGGUCUGUCCGCUGCUCUGGCGACUGCCAUUCGAAGAUUCUCCAGCUGCAGUAAUGAAUGCAUUUAGAAACCGAGAGCUGCAUUUUUUUGAUAGCCAUGGACAUUUAGUUUCAAGGUAACAGUUCAAUCCAUAGAGUUCUUUUUCCCUUUUCGUUGAAGAGGGAGGAGUAGUUUAAGACUGCCAUUCAAAGAUUUUCCCACUGCAGUAAUGAAACAUGUUUAGAAACUGAGAGCUGCGUUUUUUUUAUAGCCAUGGACAUGUAGUUACAAAGUAACAGUUCAAUCCAUAGAGGUCUUCUUCCUUUUUCCAUGGAGAGGGAGGAGUAGUUAAAAGACUGUCGUUCAAAGACUCUCCCACUGCGUUUUUUUUUGAUAGCCAUGGAUAUGUAGUUACAAAGUAACAGUUCAAUCCAUAGAGUUCUUUUUCCCUUUUUGUUGGAGAGGGAGUAUUAGUUUAGGAAGAAGAGGAAACUUGAAAUUUUGGUGGUGUUUGUGCAUGAACUCUAGCUUGUAUUACUUCUAUACAUCUUUUAUAAUUCAUUUUCCGUCA